UGGGGAAUCUUGCGCAAUGGACGAAAGCCUGACCCAGCAACGCCGCGUGAAGGAUGAAGUAUUUCGGUAUGUAAACUUCGAAAGAAUAGGAAGAAUAAAUGACGGUACUAUUUAUAAGGUCCGGCUAACUACGUGCCAGCAGCCGCGGUAAUACGUAGGGACCAAGCGUUGUUCGGAUUUACUGGGCGUAAAGGGCGCGUAGGCGGCAAUUCAAGUCAUCUGUGAAAUCUCCGGGCUUAACUCGGAACGGUCAGAUGAUACUGCUUUGCUAGAGUGCAGAAGGGGCAAUCGGAAUUCUUGGUGUAGCGGUGAAAUGCGUAGAUAUCUGGAGGAACACCGGUGGCGAAGGCGGCAUCCUGGACCGGUAUUGACGCUGAGUGAGCGAAAGCCAGGGGAGCAAACGGGAUUAGAUACCCCCGUAGUCCCUGAGCGGGCUGGCAAGGCGCAU
RNAcentral lists this ribosomal RNA (448 nucleotides) under uncultured bacterium. RNAcentral's name for it is "bacterial SSU rRNA". It matches the Rfam family "Bacterial small subunit ribosomal RNA", at positions 355 to 825 of the family's 1533-position model. The record is from RNAcentral.